AACGAACGCUGGCGGCAGGCCUAACACAUGCAAGUCGAGCGAAGCCUUCGGGCUUAGCGGCGGACGGGUGAGUAACGCGUGGGAACGUGCCCUUUGGUACGGAAUAGCCCCGGGAAACUGGGAGUAAUACCGUAUGUGGUCGAGAGACGAAAGAUUUAUCGCCAAAGGAUCGGCCCGCGUUGGAUUAGGUAGUUGGUGGGGUAAUGGCCUACCAAGCCGACGAUCCAUAGCUGGUUUGAGAGGAUGAUCAGCCACACUGGGACUGAGACACGGCCCAGACUCCGACGGGAGGCAGCAGUGGGGAAUCUUAGACAAUGGGGGAAACCCUGAUCUAGCCAUGCCGCGUGAUCGAUGAAGGCCUUAGGGUUGUAAAGAUCUUUCAGUGGGGAAGAUAAUGACUGUACCCACAGAAGAAGCCCCGGCUAACUCCGUGCCAGCCGCCGCCGUAA
RNAcentral lists this ribosomal RNA (449 nucleotides) under uncultured bacterium. RNAcentral's name for it is "partial 16S ribosomal RNA". It matches the Rfam family "Bacterial small subunit ribosomal RNA", at positions 29 to 523 of the family's 1533-position model. The record is from RNAcentral.